CGGGAUGUGGUGUAACGGCUAACAUGCACGUUUCGGGUACGUGUGACUGCGGGUUCGAAUCCCGCCAUCCCGA
Molecule: transfer RNA, 73 nt
Filed under: Patescibacteria group bacterium
Lineage: Bacteria
Description: tRNA-Pro
Rfam family: tRNA
About the family: Transfer RNA (tRNA) molecules are approximately 80 nucleotides in length. Their secondary structure includes four short double-helical elements and three loops (D, anti-codon, and T loops). Further hydrogen bonds mediate the characteristic L-shaped molecular structure. tRNAs have two regions of fundamental functional importance: the anti-codon, which is responsible for specific mRNA codon recognition, and the 3' end, to which the tRNAs corresponding amino acid is attached (by aminoacyl-tRNA synthetases). tRNAs cope with the degeneracy of the genetic code in two manners: having more than one tRNA (with a specific anti-codon) for a particular amino acid; and 'wobble' base-pairing, i.e. permitting non-standard base-pairing at the 3rd anti-codon position.
Source: RNAcentral